GUCAGGAUGGCCGAGCGGUCUAAGGCGGUGCACUCAAGAUGCACUUCUGGAAACGGAGCGUGGGUUCGAAUCCCACUCUUGACA
RNAcentral lists this transfer RNA (84 nucleotides) under Amphiamblys sp. WSBS2006. It matches the Rfam family "tRNA". From Rfam's summary of the family: Transfer RNA (tRNA) molecules are approximately 80 nucleotides in length. Their secondary structure includes four short double-helical elements and three loops (D, anti-codon, and T loops). Further hydrogen bonds mediate the characteristic L-shaped molecular structure. tRNAs have two regions of fundamental functional importance: the anti-codon, which is responsible for specific mRNA codon recognition, and the 3' end, to which the tRNAs corresponding amino acid is attached (by aminoacyl-tRNA synthetases). tRNAs cope with the degeneracy of the genetic code in two manners: having more than one tRNA (with a specific anti-codon) for a particular amino acid; and 'wobble' base-pairing, i.e. permitting non-standard base-pairing at the 3rd anti-codon position. Lineage: Eukaryota; Fungi; Microsporidia; Amphiacanthidae. The record is from Rfam by way of RNAcentral.